GUAGGUGGCAAGCGUUAUCCGGAUUUAUUGGGUGUAAAGGGCGUGUAGGCGGGAAUGCAAGUCAGAUGUGAAAACUAUGGGCUCAACCCAUAGCCUGCAUUUGAAACUGUAUUUCUUGAGUGCUGGAGAGGCAAUCGGAAUUCCGUGUGUAGCGGUGAAAUGCGUAGAUAUACGGAGGAACACCAGUGGCGAAGGCGGAUUGCUGGACAGUAACUGACGCUGAGGCGCGAAAGCGUGGGGAGCAAAC
This 247-nucleotide ribosomal RNA is filed under the name uncultured bacterium. RNAcentral describes it as "partial 16S ribosomal RNA". It matches the Rfam family "Bacterial small subunit ribosomal RNA", at positions 527 to 773 of the family's 1533-position model. The record is from RNAcentral.